Molecule: long non-coding RNA, 3486 nt
Organism: Oncorhynchus kisutch (coho salmon)
Lineage: Eukaryota; Metazoa; Chordata; Actinopteri; Salmoniformes; Salmonidae
Exons: 3
Source: RefSeq, a predicted model, not a curated record
CUUUAUUGUCCAGGUGGGAAAGGGCAGUGUGGAGUGUGAUUGAGACUGCAUCUCUGUCAAUUAGGUUAGUAUUGUGGAGUAACUACAAUGUUGUUGACAGUGGUGUUAAGUACUUAACUAAAAAUAGUACUACUUAAGUAGAUUUUUGGGGUAUCUGUACUUGACUAUUUAUAUUUUUGACUACUUUUACUUCACUACAUUCUUAAAGAAAAUAAAGUAUUUUAAAAAUAAAGUACCCUGACACCCAAAAGUACUUGUUACAUUUGGAAAGCUUAGCAGGACAGGAAAAUUUUAAAAUUCACGCACUUAUCAAGACAACAUCCCUUGGCAUCCCAACUACCUCUUGUCUGACGGACUCACUAAACACACAUGCUUUGUUUGUAAAUGAUGGCUGAGUGUUGGAGUGUGCCCCUGGCUAUCUGGAAAAAAAGGGGUGUCUGGUUUGCAGAAUAUCAUAUUUUUUUAAAUGAUUAAUACUUAAGUAUAUUUUAGCAAUUACAUUUACUUUGAUACUUAAGUAUAUUUAAAACCAAAUACUGUUAGACAUUUACUAAAGUAGUAUUUUACUGGGUGAAUUUCACUUACUAUUUUCUAUUGAGGUAUCUUUACUUUUACUCAAGUAUGACAAUUGGGUACUUUUCCACCGCUGGUUGUUGAUCCAUCCUCAGUUUUCUCUUAUCACAGCUGUACCUGUUUUAAAGUCACCAUUACCCUUAUGGUCAAAUCCCUGAGCGGUUUCCUUCCUCUCCGGCAACUGAGUUAGGAAAGACGCCUGUAUCUUUGUAGUGACUGGAUAUAGUGACGGGGCUCCCGAGUGGCACAGCAGUCUAGCCGGGGUAGGCCGUCAUUGUAAAUAACAAUUUGUUCUUAACUGACUUGCCUAGUUUAAAUAAAGUUUAAAUUAAAAAAAAUAAGUCUUGUUACACAAUACAAAGUGUAAUUAAUAUCUUCACCAUGUUCAAAGGGAUAUUCAAUGUCUCCUUUUACAUUUUGUACCAUCUACCAAUAGGUGCCCUUCUUUGCGAGGCAUUGGAAAACCUUCCUGGUGUUUUGUGGUUAAAUCUGUGUUUGAAAUUCACUGCUCGACUGAGGGACCUUACAGAUAAUUGUGUGUGUGGGGAACAGAGAUGAGGUAGUCAUUAAAAAAAUCAUGUUAAACACUAUUAUUGCACACAGAGUGAGUCUAUGCAACUUAUUAUGUGACUUGUUAAGCACAUUUGUAAUCCUGAACUUAUUUAGGCUUGCCUUAGCAAAGGUGUUGUGUACUUAUUGACUCAAGACAUUUCAGCUUUUCAUUUUUUUAUUAAUUUGUAAGCAUUUUCCAAAAAACAUAAUUCAACGUUGACAUUGUGGGGUAUUGUGUGUAGGCCAGUGACCCCAAAAAAUCUAAAUUCAAUAAAUUACAAAUUUGGGAUGUAACACAACAAAAUAUAGGUAGCUAGCUAGCUAUCUUUUGAUCUAGCGAGCCAGGCUAGCUAAUGUAACUAGCUAGCUAGAUACCUCAUUUGAACGUAGUUAGGUCGUAGCUCAUACAAGUUUAUUGUGUAUUAUCUAGAUACUGCUGGUUAUGUAACGUUAUCAUUUGAUAAUGCUAGCAAGGCAGGCUGGCUACAGGCUAGCUAACGUUAGUUAACUAGCUAGCUAAUGUUAGCCUACAAGUCGUAUUUGCAAGUUAUUUUGUAGCUCAUACAGGUGUAUUCCGUUUUGUUUAGGGCAAAACUUAAUAAUGGAUGUAGCUAACUCAUGUCUGAGUCUGACUAAUACAGUGAACUAUUGGUGCUUUCAAGGGAACUGGGAGAGGAAAAAACUAGGUCAAAUCAUGACGUUAGUGAUCUUCAGAUCGGAAAGUCAGAGCACUAGAAAAAUGCCUGAGUUUGAACUUGGAAUUUCGAGUUGGAAUAGCGUUCAAAAUUACAUUUCCCAAUCAGAGCUAAUUUUUGUCCACACACCCACUAAUGAAUUUCUGGCUACACCACUGAGGUUAGGCAUAUGGUUAACUGUGUGGUUAAGGUUAGGUUUAAAAUCACAUUUUAAGAAGAGCAAUUGUAGAAAUAGGCGGCCUAUAUGACUUUGUGGCUGUAACUAGUGACGACCUAGAAUUAUCUUGACCGAGUUACUGCCCUGAUGACACAGACGGCUUCAUCAACAACGGCAAUGUGUGUUAUGUGAAAAGUUGUAUACAAAAUAAAUAUAUCCAGAUUGCAAAACUAAUUUUAAUUACCCAGCCAAGCAGAUACAUUUUGGUUGUGAAGUACAUUAUCAAAACACUUAGUCCUUUCUUUAUAACAAUGAAAUGUGUUACUUGGCUGUCUAUUGUAUCACGCUGUCCCAGACCCUACCAGUCAACACCACCUCGUAAGAUGACGAAGUACAUUGCCAGCUGCAGUUGUUCGAGAGAUGUCCAGUUUCAUGCAACAUAGAAAAGACCAGCAAGGGGACCCUCAGAAACACACAGACAUGCCCUUCCUGUGAGCAUUCCUAUAAAUGGAACAGUGUGGACACUUGAAUCAGUAUCUUUGAGGGGCCAGGAGCUCAUCUACGCUGCCAUGCCCAUCAAUGGGGCGCUGGCAAAGAACUCGCCUCCAGCCUCACUUCUUGCCUGCUUACUAACGGUCGUCAAUGGAGAGAUGCAUCUAUUGACCCAGCACUAGGAGACUUGCAAGAUGAUGUGAUGAAGUCCAGACUGACAUACGGGCUUCAUACUGAUGUCUCUAAAUGGAGAGGGACCUGACACAGCAUGAACAUUUUACUAGACAACUUUUACUUAUUGUCUUUUUUUAUUAUUGAAUUGUAUCAGUCAAUAUGGGGAGGGAGAAACCCAGUGUAUUCUGCACCAGGAUCAGGUAACUCCUGGUGUAUACAGGACACCAUAUAGGAAGGUAUGACCACUCUGACAUGUUUACCAAGGUAGCCCAAUUAUCACCAGACAAAAUGUUGAUAGGCACAGUAUCUGUAUCGGCAGGGAGUGACAAUGAAUGAUGAAAGGUGCACAUUGUUAUAUUAGCAGAACACUGAUUCUAUGGUUUUAUGUAAAUGGUUGUUUAUUCUACAUGGACCUGUUACUACAUUUGAAUGUUAUCUAAACACUUAGUUUAGAAUAUCUACAAACAUUAUUUUUAUUUACCUUUAUUUAACUUGGCAUUCUUAUUUACAAUGACGGCCUACCAAAAUGCCUCCUGCGGGGGAAGGAGGCUGAAAUUAUUAUUAUUUAAAAAAUAAUUAAACACGCAUCACGACGAGAGACAACACAGCACUACAUAAAGCGAGACCUAAGACAACAACAUAGCAUGGCAGCAACACAUGAAAACAAAGCAUGGUAUCAACACAACAUGGUAGCAGCACAAAACAAGGUACAAACAUUAUUGGGCACAGACAACAGCACAAAGGGCAAGAAGAUAGAGACAACAAUACAUCACGCAAAGCAGCCACAACUGCCAGUAAGGGUGUCCAUGAUUGAGUCUUUGAAUAAAGAGAUUGAGAUAAAAC